This is a long non-coding RNA of Nematostella vectensis (starlet sea anemone), 165 nucleotides long. RefSeq lists it as uncharacterized. The record is from RefSeq and is a predicted model, not a curated record. The transcript has 2 exons. NCBI's taxonomy places the organism in Eukaryota, Metazoa, Cnidaria, Anthozoa, Actiniaria, Edwardsiidae.
UUUGUUCUCACAUUUUCACACCACGGACUGACUGCAAACUUAUUCUUCCAGGCAAUUAUGAACUGAGAAAAAAUACAGAAGUACACUUAAUCUAAGGGAAACCAACAAUCAAUUUAUAUAAUUGUUAUUUGAGAACCCAUAAAAGGUGAAUAAAAUUACCCCAAA